AUUAAAGUGAGUAAAUAGAAUUUCGUACUCCAUCUCAUAGAUUCCUGUAGAAUUAUGUGGAAGGCCGUAUCCGAUGAAAAUCAUAUGUACAUCUUGGAUGAAGAUCUUUCCUAUCUUUCAAGAUCCGCCCUACAAUAUGGAACCAAAGAAAAAAAAGUGAUUUUUAGCCCUUAUAAAAAGAAAACGGAUUCUUGA
This 195-nucleotide ribosomal RNA is filed under the name Triticum aestivum (bread wheat). Its description in RNAcentral is "partial small subunit ribosomal RNA". Lineage: Eukaryota; Viridiplantae; Streptophyta; Magnoliopsida; Poales; Poaceae. The record is from RNAcentral.